AGCAGCCGCGGUAAUUCCAGCUCCAAUAGCGUAUAUUAAAGUUGUUGCAGUUAAAAAGCUCGUAGUUGAAUUUCGGGAUCAGUACGUCGGUCGUGCCUUGGUACGUACUGGCGUCGCUGAUUCUCCCUUCUGACGAACCGUGAUGCCAUUAAUUUGGUGUUGCGGGGAAUCAGGACUGUUACUUUGAAAAAAUUAGAGUGUUUAAAGCGGGCACGCGCUUGAAUACAUUAGCAUGGAAUAACGAAAUAGGACGUUCGAUCUUAUUUUGUUGGUUUCUAGGAUUGACGUAAUGAUUAAUAGGGAUAGUUGGGGGCAUUAGUAUUCAAUUGUCAGAGGUGAAAUUCUUGGAUUUAUUGAAGACUAACUACUGCGAAAGCAUUUGCCAAGGAUGUUUUCAUUAAUCAAGAACGAAAGUUAGGGGAUCGAAGACGAUCAGAUACCGUCGUAGUCUUAACCAUAAACUAUGCCGACUAGGGAUCGGAUGAUGUUAAUUUUAUAAUGACUCAUUCGGCGCCUUACG
This 520-nucleotide ribosomal RNA is filed under the name uncultured Glomus. RNAcentral describes it as "SSU rRNA". It matches the Rfam family "Eukaryotic small subunit ribosomal RNA", at positions 569 to 1092 of the family's 1831-position model. The record is from RNAcentral. Lineage: Eukaryota; Fungi; Glomeromycota; Glomeromycetes; Glomerales; Glomeraceae.